UGAGGAAUAUUGGUCAAUGGGCGCAAGCCUGAACCAGCCAUCCCGCGUGCAGGAAGACGGCGCUAUGCGUUGUAAACUGCUUUUCUGGAGGAAGAAACGCUGCGACGUGUCGUGGUUUGACAGUACUUCAGGAAUAAGCAUCGGCUAACUCCGUGCCAGCAGCCGCGGUAAUACGGAGGAUGCGAGCGUUAUCCGGAUUCAUUGGGUUUAAAGGGUGCGUAGGCGGACUAAUAAGUCAGUGGUGAAAUCCUGCAGCUUAACUGUAGCACUGCCAUUGAUACUGUUAGUCUUGAGUUUGGUUAAGGUAGGCGGAAUGUGUAAUGUAGCGGUGAAAUGCUUAGAUAUUACCCAGAACACCAAUUGCGAAGGCAGCUUACUGGACCGAUACUGACGCUGAUGCACGAAAGCGUGGGGAGCGAACAGG
RNAcentral lists this ribosomal RNA (424 nucleotides) under uncultured Bacteroidales bacterium. RNAcentral describes it as "bacterial SSU rRNA". It matches the Rfam family "Bacterial small subunit ribosomal RNA", at positions 355 to 776 of the family's 1533-position model. The record is from RNAcentral. Lineage: Bacteria; Pseudomonadati; Bacteroidota; Bacteroidia; Bacteroidales.